RNAcentral lists this non-coding RNA (45 nucleotides) under Schistosoma margrebowiei. Lineage: Eukaryota; Metazoa; Platyhelminthes; Trematoda; Strigeidida; Schistosomatidae. The record is from RNAcentral.
AUCCAGCUGACGAGUCCCAUAUAGGACGAUACGCACAUCCUAAAU